CGAGGUGUUGCCACCUCAAUCUCUGUCAUUUGGUCCGAUCAAAAGGCCCUCACUAUAUCAGGGCUCACAAAAUAAUUAUGAGUCAACUAUAUAAAUCUCUUGGAUCUAAAUUGCCUAUCAAAAUUUGCAGAGAAGAGAAGGAAUAGUUAUUUCAUCAGGAAAGUUUCCAACUGUCCUCAAAGGCUUCCAAUAAUCCAUCAUGCUACUGGUAUCAAUCUUCCCUAGCAAUAGAGUAUUGGAAGACUUGUGGACCGUUGAAGACACAUUUCUUUCAUCGAGGUAAAUCGGGUCGAGCCAUCUAUCUAGAUUACAAAAGGUACGUAAAAAGACGAAAUCGAAUGUAUAGCAACAAUAACUACUAUAAAUAAGAUUUUUACUUCAUUUGUGUACCGUAAAGAUAAUUAUUUUCUUGAUGUAUCAAAAUCAAGAGGUUAUGCAAUUUUCUUCUAAUUUCCCCUGUUGAUUUAUGUUAAAAUUACUUCAAAUUAUAGGGUUUUGAUCGUUUUCAUCGAUCUAGAUAAAAUUUAUAAUGUUUUCUAUCCUCUACUGGGUGCGGCAAAUUAAUUAAUUGUAAGUCAAGGGCUCAAAUUAGGGUUUACAAAUGAUUUUCAGGCUGAGCGCAGAUUGAAAAAAUCUGGUGUAAUUAAUAUGUGAUACGUGGAUUUUUCUUCUCUUCUCUCCUCUUCUCUCUCUCUGAAAAUUUUGAUACGUAAAUUGGACAUUUAAAGAUUAGGAUUUAAAGAAACUGAGAUUUUUCGAAUUAUGUUCUCUUCCCUCAUAAAUCAGGUCGAAUCCGAUAAAAAGUUACAUAAAGAGAACUCUGAAAAAUAAAUAAAUUGUACUCUACCAAGUCAAUUUAUGAUAAUUUCUUUUAAACUUCGAAUUACUGCAAUUAGGGUUUCACGCGUAGUAGAAAUCUUGACUAUUUCUACAGCCAUGUUACAACUAAUUAAGCAUUUAACUGUUGGAGUUUUAUUAUUAUUAUUAUUAUUAUUAUUAUUAUUAUUAUUAUUAUUAUUAUUAUUUUUAUUUUUUUUUUUUUUUUGGGAAAUCUGCUGUAAUUUCUUUGGUACAUAGUAAGCAUCGUUUGUAUAUGUGAAUCAUUCGUCAAAAGAAAAAAAAAAAAAAAUGUAAAAAUGCGUAUACAUCUGACAUUUGGUCUAAUGUCCAGUCCAAUCUAAUACUAAAUUUAUAAAUAGGUAUGUAAAAUAUGUAUCUGAAAUGUAUAAAAUAUGAUUUUAUGUUUUGAAAGUUUUUAUAAAUUCUAAAAAGUAUAAUAAUUAAUUAAAGUAAAAAUCUCUAUCCUUCCAGACUUGUGUAUUCUGGUCGAUGAAAACCUUAGACAUUCAUCAACUUCGGCAAAACUCAUAUUUCUUGUUUCUAAUUAGUAUUAACCACAGGUACAUGAUAGAUUAGUUCCAAACACAAAAGCGUCAAGUUAACAACUUUGUAGUAAAUUUAAAAAAUUAUUCACCAAAUUUAUUGUUAGUCAAUAAUUAAUAAAGUUCUUGCAUAUAAACUAUUUGUAUUCCACAAGAAAAAUAGACUAACAUAUACUCCUCUUCUUUAAUUUCGUGUUGCAUGCUCUUUCGAGAAUAAUUUUACAUUUCUUUCAGGAGUUUAUACAAGUUUAUUUAUCUUCUGUUUGGUAGAAAUUUUUUGAAAAUAAAUUUGUAAAAAUUGAAUUUAUUUUUUAUUUUUUGGAGGAUUUAUAACAUACACAGCCCUUAAGUGUCUUGCGCAGACAGAAAACCUAGCUCAAGCCACGUCACAAGUACGAGCUGGAUGCAUAGUAAUUGGUCUCCUGCUUCAAGCUUAGUCAGAGUACUUUUCUCUUGGAAGUAUGGAAUAAAACAAAAGUGAAAUUUCUUUGUUAUCUUCUCUCAGUUCUGGACUUCCUAUGGAGGUUAUGAGAAACUUAUAAAUUAUAAUAGUUUGAUUAUAGUAAUGGCAAGUUCAACAAGGUUUUGGUCCCAACUUCCAAGAGGUUGGAAAGAGCAAGGUCUAAACAAGUGCUACAUAUACUUUCACAAAGAGAUAGACAACCCUUCUCUCUCCCUUUUUUGCAGGAAACUCAUCUCUGAAUUAGCUACGCCAUGUCUAGCAAAUAUAACAAUCCCCAGCCCCCCAAUCGGACAACAUUAGUAAUCUAAGUCUCCAUCAAGGUCCAACUCUGUCUCUUUGUGCCAGUGCCACCGCCUUAUGUGAGCACAAUUUCCUGCGGACUUUCUCAGCCAUCAGAGAGAGAGAGUGGGGCUGGAGCAUGCAAACCCUCCCAUUUCUUCCAUUUCGUGCACUCUUAUUUGCAGAAAGUUGGCAUUCUCUGAACUCUCUCCCUCAGUGGCCCUUUCAUGACUUUAGGUUGAAGGAGAAGCCUUUGAGAUGUGGGGGUUCAGAAAUUGCCAGCCUUCUUACCAGUUUCAACAGUUCAUUAAUAAGCCGCGUGCAGAUAUAUAUACAAAAUUAGUAAGUAUUAAUUUGUUUUAGAAACUUUUAAACUCUAACUUACAUGCUCUAACUCAAUGAUAGAAUCCGAAAAAUAGCCUUUUGUUUUUCUUUGAAAAGUUAUAAUUCAAAAUAUUGUUCUCUGGAUUUCUUCAUCUCUUUUUUCACUUCUAAAGAAUUGGAUUUUGUUAUGUUUUGUACAAAAUAAGAACCCUUGCUACCUGGCAUGACCUCACUACCAAUGCCAGAUGUAAUAUGCUUAAUUUAAAUUUUGUCCAAUUCCUUCCACACAAACAAUAAAACAGUAAUAAUACAACCCUCUUUAUUUGCUACUGUGCAAGUUGAACAAUGUUUUGGUUUAUGGAACUUCGAAGGAUAUUUAGUGUCAACGGGCUUCAUGUUUUUUCAUCCUUUUUCUCAUAUCGGUUGACAAGAGGAUGAUUUGAACCAUCAGAAUCCCUUUUCUAUUCGGAGAAGUUCUUUUCAACGUGCAUUACUCUUUUAUGCCAAUAUAGCAUCUACUUG
This 2970-nucleotide long non-coding RNA is filed under the name Olea europaea subsp. europaea. Lineage: Eukaryota; Viridiplantae; Streptophyta; Magnoliopsida; Lamiales; Oleaceae. The record is from RNAcentral.